GUAGCCCACCCACGUCCUGUUUACAGCCCGUGGAUACGGGCCUGUAUUAGGGCGUAGCACCCACGUCCUGUAUACAGGCUGUUGCAGCUGUAGCUUAUGCGCAUGCGCUAGCUUGGGGCAGGAUGACGUCACCUGACUACAAAAAGAGAAUGAGACAGACAGAGCUCUGAGAAAAAAUCCUGCUGCUUGUCACAAGAGGAGCUGGUCCAAAAAGACAACUUGAAGAGGACUAUACACUAUUAGUCUACCUGUGAACAGAAAAAGGUUUGCACGUUGUUAUGGACUUUUGAAGCUGGAACACUGGCCAAUUUUACAAGGCUCCCAUCUGAAGUUUUUUCACUUUUUUGAUAAAGAGGUGUUGAAGAAUGCUCCCAGAUAAUGCUGCCGAGUUGAAGUCUGGACUAAUUACACACUAGAUGUUGUCAGAAGAAUGAACUAAAGAAAAAGCAACAGUUUCCUGUUGCGAGAUAUCUUCGAGAUGAAAAAGAGCCCUUGUAAUGUGUACAGCACACUGUAAGCUGUUGACUGACUUCAUAGUACGCCGAUGUUGAAAAACUCAAGAUUUCUUUAUUGGCAUGCCGAGUUGGAGUCUGGAUGUGUUAGAUUGAAGUUUUUAGACGAAUGAUAAAGAGAAUGCAACAAUUGCCUGCUGGUGAGCUAUCUCGGAGAUGAAGAACGGCCCUUCAAGCUGUUCACUGACUUCAUAGUACGCCGAGUCUAUCUUUGUGCACAAAAACAAGACGAAUAAUUAUAAAUACAUGCCACCGUGGGGAUGUGAAGACACGGACAUGAUAAUGAAUAAUGAGAGACAUAAUGUAGCUGAACAGAAAUUAAUAUAUAUAUAUAUCUUGUUCUUGUCUUCUUAAUUG
Long non-coding RNA from Halichondria panicea, 869 nucleotides. RefSeq lists it as uncharacterized. NCBI's taxonomy places the organism in Eukaryota, Metazoa, Porifera, Demospongiae, Suberitida, Halichondriidae. The record is from RefSeq and is a predicted model, not a curated record. The transcript has 12 exons.